Long non-coding RNA from Galeopterus variegatus (Sunda flying lemur), 427 nucleotides. RefSeq lists it as uncharacterized. Lineage: Eukaryota; Metazoa; Chordata; Mammalia; Dermoptera; Cynocephalidae. The transcript is spliced from 3 exons. The record is from RefSeq and is a predicted model, not a curated record.
CUGAGGCCAUGUCCUGGCUGCCUUGAGUCUGUGGGGCUAUACAGCCUCCUGCCCAUAUAUCCAGGGUUCUGACUCUGUCCAGCCCCUAGACCAGCUCCCAAGCCUACUCCUCACCCAAAUCUGGGCUGAGGAGACUCCUCAAGCUUCGGGACUCAGCAGGGCACAGCAGCAGUCACGUGCAUGCUGGGACCGCCACGGACAGGCUGCUGCUCCCGGGGCCCCCAGAGGCCCAUCUAUUUGCCUCCCGGUGCCGUCUGACCCAGCCAGACCGAGCUUCAUCCCAGAGCUGAGAGGACCCCUGGACAGGAGCUGGGGCAGCUGAGGAGUGGAACAGGAGCUGCCAGCACAGCAUCUUCCCUCUGCUCACCCGACUUGACUCAGGACCCCGCGGGCUAGGGACAUACGCACGCUCACACUUGUGCGUCCU